GUGGCGCUCUCUGACAGUUCCCCAAUCCUGUCGGUGUUCGGAAAAAUCAGUCGGAGUGGGACCUCUGUGUUUUUCCCCCUCAUCUCUAGUCGCGCCUCCAACCGUCAUGACGCUCCCCCCGCGAGUUUUAUCCACGCCGCUCCUCCAUCGACAUCUACUAAUUUCCCCCCCAUACCUUCCUCCCGUCCUGUCGUGUGGGUGUGUGUCGUCUGCGUGGAGACAGAAGAGUGGGUAGAAACGCGCUUUCCACUGUGUCGCAGUGCUCGGGUUCAUUGUUCCGUGAACGGAGCCUGGAUUUUGAAUCCGGGACAACUUUAUUUAUUUUUUUCCUCCUUACAGACACAAUAGAUGCGGCUGGAGGAUCCAGUGAGGAGUCGUUUUUUUUCUCCGCGAGCCUGCGGUCAUAGAGCUAUGUGCUUUAUCGUGGAUCCGUGAGGCUGCGUGUGCUCCUGCCCAAGCAGAUCCACGCGUCCUCACCUGCCAUAUGUCGUCUCUCCACUGAGGUCAUCCGAGGAGAACAGCGGGUGCAGGAAAUGUGGGGAGGGGGGAAAGACACAUGGGGUGUUGUUGUUUCUCCCACUCUGGGUGGGGUUUUGGUCUCGUUGUAAUGCAGCCACGUUUGGCGCGCACGUCCUCGUGCGCUUUUACGCACAGCGACACACGGACUGAAAAGGAGACUCGAUCGGACAGAAGCUGGAGGUGGAGAGGGAAGGAGGUGAGGAGCGGAGCACCCGGGACCAGACGCUGGUUGAGGUAGUAGUUUGUGCUGUUGGUCGGGUUGUCACACUGCCCCCUCAUGGAGAUGACUGCGCAAUCUACUGCCUUGCCAGCGCUGGUGACUUGCGACAGAGAGGAAUCAAACCCGAUCGGAAUGGAGUGAAUGGAGACGAGCGCAGUCAUGUCCGCUACUCGACGAGAUCACGUGGUUAUUGAAACAAACAGGUGCGUGGAUGAACAGACGUGUGAACUGGGGGUUGAUUACAUUACACACGAAUCUUGUGUUCAUUUAAAUAAAGCAGAUUUAAAAAAUAAAA
This is a long non-coding RNA of Solea senegalensis (Senegalese sole), 1034 nucleotides long. RefSeq lists it as uncharacterized. Lineage: Eukaryota; Metazoa; Chordata; Actinopteri; Pleuronectiformes; Soleidae. The transcript is spliced from 2 exons. The record is from RefSeq and is a predicted model, not a curated record.